RNAcentral lists this unclassified non-coding RNA (153 nucleotides) under uncultured fungus. Its description in RNAcentral is "sequence contains ITS1". The record is from RNAcentral. Lineage: Eukaryota; Fungi.
AUGAUUACUCGUCCUGUGCUGGCCUCGCGCAUGUGCACGGACUUAAUCCAAACCCCUGUGCACCCCUUUAGCCUUUGGUUGACUCCGGUCGAUUAGAGGAUUUUACACACACGAAUAGUAUAGAAACCCUACCUGUGCGCAAGCACGAAUGUA